GCUGCUCCUUAGCUUAAAAACAUGCUCUUAAGUUUAAAUCAUUCAGGCCCAUGUUCUUGUUGAUGAAACAAUUCUACAGCCUGCAAACACCAUAUCUUGCAAAUACCAUAUCCUAUGAGAAAUAAUUAUUUCCUUUGCCAUUUUGGUUCAAAACUAUAAAUAACGGCUAUAUACAUGUUAUUUUGCUAAAGAUUUACGAAAGCAUACCUAGAGUCUAUGCUGAAACUUUUAACUACUAUCGGCCGCAGGUUGAAGAACAAGAAAGCUAUUCUCCGGUCUAGGAGUAGAAGAGCAUGCCUAAAGUCUUAACAGACCGACUUCUUUAAAACAACUACCCUCAUUGAUUAGACUUGACUGCAGUCCGGUUCAGACUCGAAACUGGAUCAGACCAGGGAAACCCGUAACUGGAAUUAGUCUACUUUUCCGGUCCUGGUUCUGGUUGCACCACUAGCCACCAGAUCCGGAACUGGACUGGUGGCUCUGGUUCCAGUUUGGAACCUUUUAAGAGAAACAGCUGGCAGCAACUGCUACAUUUGUUAUAUAGUUAAAGUAUUAUUUUUACUGUACAAGAAUAUCUUUUUAGCUGAACAAGUCAUGUAGACUAAUAACUACAAGAUAAAACUUUUUGGUGAACAAGACUAAUAAUGGCUACAUAUGCCUUGGUUAGCUGUUCUUAGUCUUGCAUUAAAUAUUGGUUGACUGCCUGUCUUGUUUUAGCGUUGAUAUCAAUUUCCAUGUUUCCAUUCAUGCAGUGUUGCAGCAACAAAAACUCCUAUUGUAUUUAUUGGAAGAGGAGAUUAUUUACAUGAGUUUGAAAUGUUUGACAUUAAACCAUUUGUUAGUCGCCUUUUAGGCUGGAGUGACUUUCUUGGAUAUAAGAAGGAUCUUCAUAUGUAUCAACAGCCUGAACUUCUCUCACAAGGAUAUACAUUAAGAACUAGAAUGUGUGCCAAUGCUCAGUCAUGAGGAUAACAGAAAGAAGCGUAACUCACAACGAUGAAAAGCUCUGAUAUGUUGUCGAAUGUCUAUCUGUAGAUAGAAAAAAUUAUGUUAGAUCUCAGGAUGGUAAUUCACCACAUGUGAUUUGCUUUUGGAUUUUCUUUUUUAUUAUUAUCAAUGUGAAAGAUUGUCAGUGAACAUUGCAAUGCGGCUAGAGGCAGUGCAGACAUAUGAGAAACGAUCUUUGAAGCUCUACAAUGCAUGACCUCUCUCUUCCAGGAUCUGUUAAAUCGAUUUAUGUCAAAAGGGUGGGAGGAUAAACGGCAAAAAAAUUAUAAGCGUAAAAUAGCCAUUAUGAAUUCAAUUACAAAC
Long non-coding RNA from Ricinus communis (castor bean), 1311 nucleotides. RefSeq lists it as uncharacterized. Lineage: Eukaryota; Viridiplantae; Streptophyta; Magnoliopsida; Malpighiales; Euphorbiaceae. The record is from RefSeq and is a predicted model, not a curated record. The transcript has 3 exons.